Molecule: long non-coding RNA, 804 nt
Organism: Mizuhopecten yessoensis (Yesso scallop)
Lineage: Eukaryota; Metazoa; Mollusca; Bivalvia; Pectinida; Pectinidae
Exons: 3
Source: RefSeq, a predicted model, not a curated record
UUUUUAUAUCUCAUUUACAGACAUUUGACAGGAGGAAAACAAGUGUCUAGGCAAGAGGAAGAGACAGAAGUGGAGAAGAGAAAAGGAGACAUCGACAUCUAUGAGUUUACGGACGAUGAAGCCGAGGAGGAGUAUGACGACGGUUAUUACGACAGAGACUAUAACCCCAAAUUAGAUACGGAGGACCAGGAUAUGGAGGGUGAGAAUUGUCCCUUAUGGAUAUCAUGACAUAAAGUGUGUGCUCAGAAUUCAAAAUCAAUAAAAAAAGCAAAGAAAUGACUUAACUUGAUACACUUCAAAAUGUUCAGGGAAAGGAACUGGUCCGGCUAGAUAAAAAUACAAUAUGGAUAUAUCUGUGAUAUUUAUUUCUAUAGCACCGAUUUUAAUGAUUUCGUUUAUUUCAAGCACAAGCAUUUCCUCUACAUUAUGUUUAGCAUAUUUUAUCUGUCAUAGCAAAAAAGACAUAUACCAUUUGAAUUUUUGUGUCUAUCAAUGUCAUUACUCUCUAAUUAAGAAAACGACCCAGAAGGUGAACAAGAUGAAGAAAUAGAGAGUGAGUAUUGUUUAAGUUUAUUGUUAGAAUUCGUACUCGAUACAACACUUUUAAAAUGUGACCAAAGAAUCGACUUACAUUGAAACACUUCAAAAUGCACAGGGGAAGGAAGUGCUCCGGUUAGAUAAAAAUACAAUAUCGAUAUAUCUGAGAUAUUUAUUUCAGUAGCAACGAUUUAAAUGAUUUCGUAUAUUUUAAGCACGAGUAUUUCCUUUACACCAUGUUAAGAUGGUAUUGUUCAAGUUUGUUGU